RNAcentral lists this ribosomal RNA (1806 nucleotides) under uncultured eukaryote. Its description in RNAcentral is "SSU rRNA". It matches the Rfam family "Eukaryotic small subunit ribosomal RNA". The record is from RNAcentral.
UACCUGGUUGAUCCUGCCAGUAGUCAUACGCUUGUCUUAAGGAUUAAGCCAUGCAUGUCUAAGUGCGGUGUACUCAAACACGCCAGACUGCGGACGGCUCAUUAUAACAGUUAUAGUUUAUUUGAUGGUUCUUUUACGUGGAUAACCGUGGUAAUUCUAGAGCUAAUACAUGCCAAAAUUCCCAAGCCUCCGGGCGAGGGGAGCAUUUAUUAGAUGCCGAACCCAAUGGCCCUCGGGCCUAAUUGAGGACUCAUAAUAACUCAAGCAGAUCGUAUGCUUUACAGCGACGGCGUAUCAUUCAAGUUUCUGACCUAUCAGUUAGUCGGUAGUGUAUUGGACUACUGAGGCUCUGACGGGUAACGGAGAAUUAGGGUUCGAUUCCGGAGAGGGAGCCUGAGAAACGGCUACCACAUCUAAGGAAGGCAGCAGGCGCGUAACUUACCCAAUCCUGACUCAGGGAGGUAGUGACAAGAAAUCACAAUACUUCGCUCAAUUGAGCAAAGUAAUUGGAUUGAGAACAGGCUAAACAUGUUAACGAUAAACCAUUGGAGGGCAAGUCUGGUGCCAGCAGCCGCGGUAAUUCCAGCUCCAAUAGCGUAUACUAACGUUGUUGCAGUUAAAAAGCUCGUAGUUGGAUUUUUAGUUGCGCGGACCGGCCGUGGCCCUUAGUGUCGUGAGCCUGGUUCGUCGUGACUAUUUUGGCCCAGCGUGUCGUUGGCAUUAGUUUGUCGAUGGCUCCGCCAGGUCGAGUUUACUUUGAGAAAAUUAGAGUGUUCAAAACAGUCUUUCGAUUGUAUAUCAUAGCAUGGAAUAAUAACUGAUGACCUCGGUCACCUUUUGUUGGGUUCAGUUGGCUGAGAUAAUGAUUGAUAGGGUUAGUCGGAGGUCUUAGUAUUCUGUCGUUAGAGGUGAAAUUCAUGGAUCGGCAGAAGACUGACAACUGCGAAAGCAUUGAUCUAGGAUUUGCUCUUUGAUCAAGAACGAAAGUUGGGGGAUCGAAGACGAUCAGAUACCGUCGUAGUCUCAACUAUAAACUAUACCAGCUAGGGAUUGGCAAGCGUUUGACUUGACCUUGUCAGAACCUUAUGAGAAAUCAAAGCAUUUGGGUUCCGGGGGGAGUAUGGUCGCAAGGCUGAAACUUAAAGGAAUUGACGGAAGGGCACCACAAGUUGUGGAUCCUGUGGCUUAAUUUGACUCAACACGGGAAAACUUACCAGGUCCAGACAUAGUAAGGAUUGACAGAUUGACAGCUCUUUCUUGAUUCUAUGGGUGGUGGUGCAUGGCCGUUCUUAGUUGGUGGAGUGAUUUGUCUGGUUAAUUCCGUUAACGAACGAGACCAUUACCUGCUAAAUAGUCGGCCGGUCCUUUUGGAGCGGACUGACUUCUUAGAGGGACUAGCCAUCUAUUAAGUGGCUGGAAGUUAGUGGCAAUAACAGGUCUGUGAUGCCCUUAGAUGUUCUGGGCCGCGCACGGGCUACACUGACGGUGUAAAUGAGCCUCACUAUCAUGGUCCGAGAGGAUCGUGCAAUCUUGAAACACCGUCGUGGUUGGAAUCGACGAUUGUAAUUAUUCGUCGUGAACGAGGAAUACCUAGUAAGCGUGCAUCAUUAAUGCACAGUGAAUACGUCCCUGCCCUUUGUACACACCGCCCGUCGCUCCUACCGAUUGGAUGAGCUGGUGAGUUAAUCGGACGGUGGCCUGAGUCGCCUCACGGCGGCACUGGCCGCUGGAAACUUUGCAAACUAGACUAUCUAGAGGAAGGAGAAGUCGUAACAAGGUUUCCGUAGGUGAACCUGCAGAAGGAUC